AUCGUUCUAUGAGGCAUUUACCCUUUGAUAGGACAUCUCCAUGCAACAACAUGGCAGGGGCCAUGAGGUCAAGAUUUCUCUUGCUCCAUUCCUCUUCAUUUCCAUUCCUAUGACGUCAUGCAGGACGAUGUGUUCGGGUGGAAACAGCCAAAUCCACUCCCUCUCCAUCAUUGUGCCUUCCAUUUUAUGAUUUCUGCUGCGGCCAAUCCCCUCGUCGCCUG
This 221-nucleotide long non-coding RNA is filed under the name Elaeis guineensis (African oil palm). Its description in RNAcentral is "long non-coding RNA (EGUI_LNC072768)". Lineage: Eukaryota; Viridiplantae; Streptophyta; Magnoliopsida; Arecales; Arecaceae. The record is from RNAcentral.